This 276-nucleotide long non-coding RNA is filed under the name Zalophus californianus (California sea lion). RNAcentral's name for it is "lncRNA (ENSZCAG00015008468.1)". Lineage: Eukaryota; Metazoa; Chordata; Mammalia; Carnivora; Otariidae. The record is from RNAcentral.
AGCAACUGUGCCCUUCCUGGUGCAGCAAGGCACACAUGGCAUUCAGAGAUGUGGCUGUGGAUUUCAGCCAGGAAGAGUGGAUGCUGCUGAGCCCCGCUCAAGAUCCCUGUACAGGGAGGUGAUGCUGGAGAAACUACAGGCAACCUGGUCUCACUGGUGUAAGCCCUGGAAUCUCUAAUGGACUCAUGUCCCUGCUGCGGGGCAUUUUAGGCUGUGCUUGAAGCAGCCAUCUUGCUUUCCUGAGUUGGCCCUUGUGCCCCUAACCUACAGCCACCU